UUAUUUAGCCCAAGACUGGUUGCCCACUGAAGCUAAGCAGGGUUGAGCCUGGUCAGUACCUGGAUGGGAGACCUUCUGGGAAAACUAGGUUUCUGAUUGAA
Ribosomal RNA from Sinocyclocheilus anshuiensis, 101 nucleotides. NCBI's taxonomy places the organism in Eukaryota, Metazoa, Chordata, Actinopteri, Cypriniformes, Cyprinidae. The record is from Ensembl.